CGGACGGGUGAGUAAUGUCUGGGAAACUGCCUGAUGGAGGGGGAUAACUACUGGAAACGGUAGCUAAUACCGCAUAACGUCGCAAGACAAAGAGGGGGACCUUCGGGCCUCUUGCCAUCGGAUGUGCCCAGAUGGGAUUAGCUAGUAGGUGGGGUAACGGCUCACCUAGGCGACGAUCCCUAGCUGGUCUGAGAGGAUGACCAGCCACACUGGAACUGAGACACGGUCCAG
RNAcentral lists this ribosomal RNA (231 nucleotides) under uncultured bacterium. RNAcentral's name for it is "partial 16S ribosomal RNA". It matches the Rfam family "Bacterial small subunit ribosomal RNA", at positions 99 to 334 of the family's 1533-position model. The record is from RNAcentral.